CGCACCUUGCGCUCCUUGGUAUUCCGAGGAGCAUGCCUGUUUGAGUGUCGUGUAAUUCUCAACUCAUAAGGUUCUUACGAGCUUUGUGCAGUUGGACGUGGAGGCUUUUGCUGGCUCUAAUCGGUCGGCUCCUCUCAAAUGCAUUAGCUUGAUUCCUUGCGGAUCGGCUCUCAGUGUGAUAAUUGUCUACGCUGUGACCGUGAAGCGUUUGGCGAGCUUCUAAUCGUCUCUUAGAGACAAUACUUUGACAUCUGACCUCAAAUCAGGUAGGAUUACCCGCUGAACUUAA
Molecule: unclassified non-coding RNA, 289 nt
Filed under: Epithele macarangae
Lineage: Eukaryota; Fungi; Basidiomycota; Agaricomycetes; Polyporales; Epitheliaceae
Description: partial contains 5.8S ribosomal RNA, internal transcribed spacer 2, and large subunit ribosomal RNA
Source: RNAcentral